RNAcentral lists this small RNA (316 nucleotides) under uncultured bacterium. Its description in RNAcentral is "bacterial SSU rRNA". It matches the Rfam family "Bacterial small subunit ribosomal RNA", at positions 68 to 357 of the family's 1533-position model. The record is from RNAcentral.
ACCUUUAAAAGCUUGCUUUUAAAGGUUAGCGGCGGACGGGUGAGUAACACGUGGGCAACCUACCUGUAAGACUGGGAUAACUUCGGGAAACCGGAGCUAAUACCGGAUAAUUCUUUUCUACACAUGUAGAAAAGCUGAAAGACGGUUUCGGCUGUCACUUACAGAUGGGCCCGCGGCGCAUUAGCUAGUUGGUGAGGUAAUGGCUCACCAAGGCAGGGAUGCGUAGCCGACCUGAGAGGGUGAUCGGCCACACUGGGACUGAGACACGGCCCAGAGUCCUACGGGAGGCAGCACUGGAUCUGCUAGAAAACUCGAG